Long non-coding RNA from Cyprinodon variegatus (sheepshead minnow), 250 nucleotides. RefSeq lists it as uncharacterized. Lineage: Eukaryota; Metazoa; Chordata; Actinopteri; Cyprinodontiformes; Cyprinodontidae. The record is from RefSeq and is a predicted model, not a curated record. The transcript has 4 exons.
UUCAGUGUCAGUGCUCUCUGCUGCUCCCAGAGAGAAGCUGAUCACCGUUCCUGGAGUUACGGGAACAUCUGGAGAUGGAUUGAGUGUAGCUACUGGAGUGUUGUUCUUUGGACUUCUAAUGGGUUUAUGUAUCGUUUUCUGGCAAAGAAUGCAUCAGAAGAGGAAACUUCCAAUGGAGGAAAACCCUGAAAAACAAACCAGCAACAUUCAGGCUGAGGAACAGCUUGUGCCACAAAGGAACACUGAGGAG